UAUUACACCACAAUAGGAUAAUAUAGGAGUGCGUGCCAAUAACUGGAUUUAAGUAUUUUUGAGUCAGUGGUUUAUGUUCAACUAGUUAUAAGCGUUACUAGAUCGGAUCGUAAUAAUUGAUAUUAGAACUUAUUCACCAGCCGAAGGUGUGAGAUUGGCCUCAUAUAGUGAUCAGAAAGUAUGAGAUAGAUCUCACAUUGCCAGAUGAUUAUGGUCUAAUGUGUGUGAUUGGAUCGACAAGGAUGUCGGAACCUAAAAUGGAGGAAAUAUAUGACACUGUAAUAAUCCUGCAUCGAAUAAUAUAAGAGAGUAUGUGAAUCUUAUAUAUGUGUGACGAGUAUAUUAUAACUAAUUAUUUGGCUUAAGCAUUUGAGCCCAAUAAAUUAUUAAUAUUAG
Molecule: long non-coding RNA, 396 nt
Filed under: Ananas comosus (pineapple)
Lineage: Eukaryota; Viridiplantae; Streptophyta; Magnoliopsida; Poales; Bromeliaceae
Description: long non-coding RNA (ACOM_LNC016325)
Source: RNAcentral